RNAcentral lists this ribosomal RNA (228 nucleotides) under uncultured bacterium. RNAcentral describes it as "partial 16S ribosomal RNA". It matches the Rfam family "Bacterial small subunit ribosomal RNA", at positions 30 to 261 of the family's 1533-position model. The record is from RNAcentral.
AUUGAACGCUGGCGGCAUGCCUUACACAUGCAAGUCGAACGGUAACAGGUUAAGCUGACGAGUGGCGAACGGGUGAGUAAUAUAUCGGAACGUGCCCAGUCGUGGGGGAUAACUGCUCGAAAGAAGCAGCUAAUACCGCAUACGACCUGAGGGUGGAAAGACGGGGGAGUCGCAAGACCUCGCGCGAUUGGAGCGGCCGAUAUCAGAUUAGGUAGUUGGUGGGGUAAA